GUUUAUGGCUAUACCACCCUAAACAUGCCCAAUCUCAUCUGAUCUUGGAAGCUAAGUUAAGCCUUGUUAGUACUUAGACAAGAGAUCUUAAGUGAAAUAAGCCAGACA
Molecule: ribosomal RNA, 108 nt
Organism: Cavia aperea (Brazilian guinea pig)
Lineage: Eukaryota; Metazoa; Chordata; Mammalia; Rodentia; Caviidae
Source: Ensembl